CGCGUAGGCGGUGGGUUACGUCUGCCGUGAAAUCCCCGGGCUCAACCUGGGAAUGGCGGUGGAAACGGGCUGACUAGAGUAUGGGAGAGGGUGAUGGAAUUCCAGGUGUAGCGGUGAAAUGCGUAGAGAUCUGGAGGAACAUCAGUGGCGAAGGCGGUCACCUGGCCCAAUACUGACGCUGAGGCGCGAAAGCGUGGGGAGCAAACAG
This 208-nucleotide ribosomal RNA is filed under the name uncultured Acidithiobacillus sp. RNAcentral describes it as "partial 16S ribosomal RNA". It matches the Rfam family "Bacterial small subunit ribosomal RNA", at positions 568 to 775 of the family's 1533-position model. The record is from RNAcentral. Lineage: Bacteria; Pseudomonadati; Pseudomonadota; Acidithiobacillia; Acidithiobacillales; Acidithiobacillaceae.